Long non-coding RNA from Oncorhynchus nerka (sockeye salmon), 3739 nucleotides. RefSeq lists it as uncharacterized. The transcript has 2 exons. The record is from RefSeq and is a predicted model, not a curated record. NCBI's taxonomy places the organism in Eukaryota, Metazoa, Chordata, Actinopteri, Salmoniformes, Salmonidae.
GUCAGUUUUUUAUGCAUUUUUUUUAAGGCACGCUGCCUGCUUUUAUUUAUAGGCUGUUUUUAACUUGUCUAUUUCAAAUUAUUUUCUAACAAGUUUUAUUUUCUAUGAACAGUUUGAAUUGAGGUGUGUUCUGCCUCAUUAAUUCACAUAAAAGUAAGCCAUUUGACUUUUGCGGACAAUACAUUUUUUGGCCAUUACAAACUUUCCCAAGCACUUCCCCAUUGUUUCCGCAGAUCAAGUAUGCAGACAUUUGCGCAUCUCCAGUUAGAACAGGACCUGCACAAAGUUUUUCACAUUUUCCGGGCUGGUGCCCACUUCCACUUCAUUGUUGUUUUCAUUACUACAUGAUACUAACUUUGGACAUGCGUGAGGUUCAAUCAAAAAACCACACACACACAAACAGUAUUGAACAUUAUUUGCCAAUAUCAUAACUCGAGCUGGACAUCUUUGGAGCUGAAGAAUGAGGACAGUUUUUGUAUGCUAACGUACACUCCUUAACAGUUGUACUGGAUGAAAACACAGCAAGAAAACACAUAGGCCUAUAUGUAUUUUAUUGAAGUAUUGGUUGAACAAAAACAACUUGUUUUACUAGAGGGAAAAAAACUGCAAGAAAAGACUGAUAACUUGUGAAUAUGUAUAACCCCCCACCCAUAAAGGCAUAGUAUCAUGGCAGAUCACCGGUCAAGUCACCUGUCUAGUCAGUCAGUCUGUAAUUGCUGCAGAUGUGCUCAAUAGUGCUUGGUCAGUUAGGAAUCACCACUUUAUUUUCAGAAUGUGAAAUGUCAGAAUAAUAGUGUAGAGAAUGAUUUCAGCUUUUAUUUCUUUCACAUUCCCAGUAAGUCAUAAGUUUACAUACACUCAAUUAGUAUUUGGUAGCAUUGCCUUUAAAUUGUUUAACUUGGGUCAAAUGUUUCGGGUAGCCUUCCACAAGCUUCCCACAAUAAGUUGGGUGAAUUUUGGCCCAUUCCUCCUGACAGAGCUGGUGUAACGGAGCCAGGUUUGUAGGCCUCCUUGCCCUCCUUACACCAGCUCUGAAUUUUACAAACACUUCAAACUCAGUAUGUGUCAUGAUGUUUUGAUAAGCGUGCAAUUCUCUCUCGGACAAGGUGGGGUUUAUCAAUAUAUUCACCUCAAUUUACUUUAAAAAAUGUGAAAUGCUAAUUAGGAACAGAGAAGCCCUCAGCAAGACUACUAAUUUCCUGCAGGAAGCUUCUGUCUUUCAUCUCUAGCUGACAAAGCUACCGUUCACCAGCGUGAUUAAAGACCUUUGCCCAAUCCAUGAUGAAUCCAUGUGCUGUAUUGAGAUUAAAUGAAUAGUGUUGGAACUUCUUCCAUCCCCUUUCUGUCUUAGCUAGCCCCUGACUACACUUUAGCUAGUCAGUUAGCAGAGCAGUAGUUCAAUUUUAUUUUUUUCUUAUCACUUAAGCUUAGAUAAUUGUUUGUGCAGUAUGUCUACUUUGAUAUCUAUUUCAGACUUUAUGGCAUUUUUCAAGGAUGAGCAUUAAAAGGGGACAAGUCUGGCCAUGUGGAGAAGUGCAGCUAUAGUGCGGGGAAAUUCACCGGUUUGGUCAAGGCCAGCAUGAGGUUUAAAGUUUGUCCUGUGUCGGUGAGUAUAGCUAUUAAGUUAAGUUUGGGCAUCUUAGCAAUACAAUGGGAUCUAUACUGCUGUCAACAUUCUACAGGGAAAGGGCCACUUAAUCAAUUAUAUAAUCAUGAACUAGAUUACCCCAGAUACCAGACUUGAUAUUAAUAAUAUGAGUAAUAACUCAGUUCUAGAAUGUUGUCAUUGAUGAGAAUAAAUCAAAAAAUCUAUUAACAUUCAGAAUGGACUUUGUAAUAGACAUCCUGUCUCUAAUGUAGUUUCAUGAAACAAACCUUCAAAGACACAGUCUUGAUUUAUAGGAUCCUUCCCACUAUAUUAUUGAUAUGUCAAGUGAUAAAAUCCCAAGUUAUCAAUUAAAAGUGUAUGGAAAAACGCAGCCUCCAAAGCAAAUGGAAACAUUUGCCAUAACUGCAGGAAAAGAGAAAUGGAGUGUCUUGCCCUUUUCAUUAUGGAGUUUGGUGCCAUCUGUAGUUUAUAGACUGUGUUGCCGCUUUAAUUACGGUUUGUUUUGAUGUAUGUUAGAAAUCAAACAGUAAAUGUUAUUUAAUGUGCCGGAUAAAUAACAAAUGAGAUGGUCUAGAAAGUCUUUAUGAAAUGUGCAGUAUGUUGUGAAUAUUUGAUAUCAUAUCAGUGCUGUGACUUGAAGCUGACAAGCGCUUCCUCUCACGAAAGAGUUCAAAUCAAUGUGCCAACCACAAGCAGUUGGCACUUGUUUUAGCAGUCUGAUCAAUUUCUCCCACUACUUCUCAACCUAGUUUCAAAAGAAAACGGAGGCAGGCCUGCCAGUGUAUAUAGAACUUGGAGCUUUGAUCUUGAUUGCUUCCUUUUUAUAUUUGAAACUCCUCCCUUAAUCAUAUGAUGCUGCUCUGGUUGGGGAUGUGGGGUGCAAAAUGAAAAUAUCUAAACGUUUUGAGGAGGUUUUUGCCAACAAUGAGACUUGCAGGUUAGCAUUUUUCGUCAUGAAUCUUGUUCUGAAAGCAGCUCACAAUGUUAAAUCUCUAUAAAAAUGUAAGACCUUACUUUAUGGAUAGAAUAGAAUAAACCCUUUGAAUAUAAUACAUUAAAAAUAAAAUAGCUUUUUUUUUCAGAGAAGGAACUUCAGAAAGUAUUCAUACCCCUUGACUUAUUCCACAUUUUUUGUUGUGUUACAGCCUGAAUUCAAAAUUGAUUCAACAAAAAAAUUUUUUAACCCAUCUACACACAAUACCCCAUAAUGGCAAAGUGAAAACAUGUUUUUGGAAUUAUUUGCAAAUGUAUUGAAAAUUAAAUACAGAAAUACCUCAUUUACAUAAGUAUUCACACCCCUGAGUCAAAACAUGUUAGAAUCACCUUUUGAGAGCAAUUACAGUUGUAAAUGUCUCUAAAAGCUUUGCACAACUGGGUUGUACAGUAUUUGCACAUUAUUCUUAAAAAAAUAAUUCAAACUCUGUCAAGUAGUUGAUCAUUGCUAGACAGCCAUUUUCAAGUCUUGUCAUAGGUUUUCAAGCCGGUUUAAGUCAAAACUGUGACUACAGUAGGCCACACAGGAACAUUUAAUGUCGUCUUGGUAAGCAACUCCAGUGCCGAUAACAAGCAUAACCAUAACAUGAUGCAGCCACAACCAUGCUUGAAAAUAUGAAGAGUGAUACUCAGUGAUGUUGGAUUUGCCACAAAUGUAACGCUUUGUAUUCAGGACAUAAAGUUAAGUUCUUUGCCACAUUAUUUUGCAGUUUUACUUUAGUGACUUAUUGCAAACAGGAUGCAUGUUUUGGAAUAUUUUAAUUGUGUACAGGCUUCCUUCUUUUCAAUAAUUUAGGUUAGUAUUUGUCACGUUCUGACCUUAGUUCUUUUGUUAUGUCUUUGUUUUAGUAUGGUCAGGGCGUGAGUUGGGUGGGUUGUCUAUGUUCCUUUUUUCCAUGUUGUGUUUUGUGUUUGGCCUGGUAUGGUAUGGUUCUCAAUCAGAGGCAGGUGUCGUUAGUUGUCUCUGAUUGAGAAUCAUACUUAGGUAGCCUUUCCCACCUGUGUGGGGGGUGAUUGUUUCCUGUUUUGUUGUUUGUGUCACCAUUCAGGACUGUUUCGGUUUUCGUUUCCAUUCACUUUGUUAUUUUUGUAUUGAGUCGUGUUCAGUUAUUAUUAAAGUAUCAUGGACACUUACAA